This 3139-nucleotide unclassified non-coding RNA is filed under the name Octopus sinensis (East Asian common octopus). RNAcentral describes it as "potassium channel subfamily T member 1, transcript variant X4". The record is from RNAcentral. Lineage: Eukaryota; Metazoa; Mollusca; Cephalopoda; Octopoda; Octopodidae.
UUUUUUUUUCUAACCUUAAAGGUACCUUGUGUUUUGCUACUAUGAAUAGAAAAGCGGAAAAAGCGACGGUAACCAGUUGGUUUGACAUGUUGAUGUCGAUUUCAUAGUUAGUCCCCCUUGUUGAAACCAGGAGCCAAACCGACCUUUCUCAUCAGCAGACGACGAGCGAAACUUCAAGCUCAGAUAGAUAACGCACUUAGGUUUUUAUCACUCAUCAAGUAAUCCACAAUGUCCCGUCGGGCGUCAAUGUUCAGCUUUUUGGGAGUUUCUGAUGAAGAUAUACACAGUUCAAUCAAGACAUCCAACAGAGAUGCUUCUUUGAAAGGACGUUUGAAAAGGGUGAUUAUAAAGGAUUCAACAGCCCGUCGAGUGGCUAUCAUAUUUGACUUGAUCAUACGUCUUUUGGCUUGUCUCCUUUAUGUCAUUCGUGUUAUUAUUGAUGAUCAGCAAGAAUAUGAUUGCUAUGGCUAUCCUUGUGCCACAGAAGAAAGCAAUCAUUCAGAACUUUCACGCCCCAAACCAAUCAACUGGUAUGUUGUUGCUUGGGUACACCGCCCCUUCGGAUUAUGGAUAGCACAAGUUGUUCUGUCAUUUGUAAUGCUUUCAAAAUUUAUUUUACAACUCUAUGUUGUACGUAAGCAAAAAGCUCUUCAAAGAAUUUUCAGAGCAACCACUCUUAUUGAAGUAUUGUGUACCAUCCCAGUUGUUGCCACGGUAUUUUGGCCAGACAAAUUACAAAACAUGUUUUACCCAACCUUUUUAAAUUGCUGGUUGGCUAACGAUGCGUUUUUGACUCUUUUUAAUGAUAUUCAUAUUGCUGGGAAACGUUUUCAGAGUAUAUCAGAAAGCCUCAGUCAACAACUUUUCAUGUUAAUUGGCUCCCUCUGUUGUUUGAUAUUUACAACUAUCUGUGGUAUACAGCAUAUCCAGAGAGCAACAACAUAUGAGUCUGAACAACAACUGAAUUUAUUCCAGUCCUUCUAUUUCGUCAUCGUUACCUUCACUACAGUUGGUUAUGGAGAUUUCUCUCCUGAUUAUUGGCUUGGACAACUUUUCAUGCUGGCAAUGAUUGUCAUUGCAUUUGCCUUUAUUCCAAGACAGCUGGAAAGUAUUGGAUCAACUUUUAUUGACAAGAAAAAGGAAGGGAAAGAAUUCAGUAAAGAUAAUGCUAAACGUCAUAAACAUGUUGUAGUUUUUAUCACUGCAAUUUUUCCAGAUGUUAUCAUGGAUUUCUUAAAUGAAUUUUUUGCACAUCCUGAUCUUCAGUGUUACCAUGUAGUCUUUAUGGCUUCUACAGAACUUAACACAAACAUCAAUGUUGUUCUGAAAGAUCCUAAAUGGGGCCAUAGAGUACAUUAUUUGAAGGGAUCAGCUUUAAAAGACAUGGACCUUGAUAAAGCCAGGGUUCAAGAUGCACAGGCAUGCUUUAUAUUAGCUGAGAGAAAUACAAAACACAGAAGUGAAGCAGAUCAACAUACAAUUUUGCGAUCAUGGGCUGUCAAAGACUUUGCUCCUCACUGCCCUCAAUACUUACAACUUUUCCUGGUUGAAAAUCGAAUGCAUGUUAAAUCUGCAGAUUGUAUAGUAUGUGAAGAUGAAUUUAAAUAUGCUCUCUUUGCCAAUAAUUGCAUGUAUCCAGGAAUAUCAACAUUGGUGACAUUAAUGCUUCAUACUUAUGAAGGAGAUAUAGGUAAAGAUGCUCCAGAAAGGUGGCAGAAAAUUUAUGGACGUCAUUCGGGGAAUGAGCUUUACCAUAUUUCCCUUGAAAAUAGCUUGUUUUUCAGUCACUACAUAGGAAAAAGCUUCACUGAAGCUUCAGCUGAUGCUCAUGCAAAAUUUGGUGUAUGUUUGCUUGCAGUCGAAGAUACUUUAAAACCAAACAAUCAAAUACAACUGAAUCCUGGAUCAAGUUAUACACUGAAAAAAUCUGAUAUCUGUUAUUACUUAAGCAUAACACAAGAAGAAUAUGCGCAGAUUAAACAUGAUUUUAAUGAACAGCAAUCUUUAAAUGGAGAGAGACGCUUUAUUGAAAAAAAAUUGGCAGGUAUUGACAUACCUAUGACAAAUUUGCCGAGAGGUAAUAAUGAUGAAUUUGCAAAUGAGCUACAAAACCUGAGUGAGGAUGAUGACACUGAUGAAGAAAUUGAGAGUCUCCCUGCAGUUACUAUCAGCAAUUCUUUUAUGAAUAACCCAAGUCAAGUUAUAAAAGAAGAAAAUGAAAAUGAAGAACCAGAAUCACCAUCACCAAAAGAACAUGGAGUCAUUAGAAAAUAUUCCUCCGACUCUGGAGAUGAUAAGUUUUAUACUGGUCUUCCUCCAGUUGUUCCUUUCGUCGGAGCCAGAAAGACACUUUGUCAUCUUGAGCGAUCACGUAUGAACUGUUGCUUAAAAUGGGCAUCGGAUUGUGAACAUUGCUCAUUUAAAAAUGCCAAGGACCCUCUCUGGAACAACCAACUUAUUAUUUUAGCAGCUGAAAAAUCAAAUGGAGGCAUAUACAACUUUAUUGUUCCAUUGCGUUCAUAUUUCCUUAAUCGAGAUUCUUUACGCCCUAUUAUACUACUUUUUGAAAAUGAACCAAGCUCACAGUUUUUGUAUAUUAUAGCACAUUUUCCUCUAGUAUAUUGGUUGGUUGGAACACUUUCUUGUGUUGAUGAUCUUCUCAAAGCUGGUAUCACAAAAGCCAGUCAAAUAGUUGUAGUGAAAAGAGAAAUGACUCAGUCAGUAUCUGAAACAACACUUAUGGAUACAGGCACCAUUCUGGCUGCUCAACAAAUAUUCAAGUUGUUUCCAAGUGCUAAGAUAUUAACUGAAUUGGAUCAAGCAUCAAAUAUGAGAUUCAUGAACUUUAGAGUUCUUGAUAAUUAUUCAAUGCAAAUUGCCAAAUUAGAAAAAGUAAAAAAUUGCAAGUCAAGUAUCUUCCAAUUUGUGUCACAUGUUCCGGCUUCCUUUUGCUGCUGGCCGUGUUUUUAGUGCUAGCAUGCUUGACACUCUUUUAUAUCAGACGUUUGAGAAAGGAUAUCUAAUUGCAUUUAUUCGUCUUUUCUUGGGAAUUGAUUCCUCAGAAAAUUCUGGACAUCUUUCAAGUAUUCAAGUUCGGAAAAGUACUUUGCAUAAAUUGACAACUUAUGGAGAAUUGUAU